RNAcentral lists this long non-coding RNA (301 nucleotides) under Nicotiana benthamiana. RNAcentral describes it as "long non-coding RNA (NBEN_LNC037425)". Lineage: Eukaryota; Viridiplantae; Streptophyta; Magnoliopsida; Solanales; Solanaceae. The record is from RNAcentral.
UUUACACAAACAGCAUCAGUACAAAAAGCUGCCCAGCAGCAUUACAUAAACAGUAUGCUUCUUUACAAAAUUAUGACCCCCAAAAAUUUACAGACACUAUCAAAAAUGCAGUAAUUACAAGCCCACAAGACAUCCAGACCACACAUCAUUUGUUUCUCUUACUUGUCACCAACUUCUCUAUUCUUUGCCUACUUUGUGUUUGUAAUUGUUUUCCAGUAAUAGCAGCUUUCCCAUUCAAUGUAAGGCUGCCUGGUGAGUAAGGAAGAUCAGAUGGAACACUUAAACCAUUGUGAUCACCUUN